UGAGUAAUGUCUGGGAAACUGCCCGAUGGAGGGGGAUAACUACUGGAAACGGUAGCUAAUACCGCAUAACGUCUUCGGACCAAAGUGGGGGACCUUCGGGCCCCACACCAUCGGAUGUGCCCAGAUGGGAUUAGCUAGUAGGUGGGGUAAUGGCUCACCUAGGCGACGAUCCCUAGCUGGUCUGAGAGGAUGACCAGCCACACUGGAACUGAGACACGGUCCAGACUCCUACGGGAGGCAGCAGUGGGGAAUAUUGCACAGUGGGCGCAAGCCUGAUGCAGCCAUGCCGCGUGUAUGAAGAAGGCCUUCGGGUUGUAAAGUACUUUCAGUGGGGAGGAAGGCGUUAAGGUUAAUAACCUUGGCGAUUGACGUUACCCGCAGAAGAAGCACCGGCUAACUCCGUGCCAGCAGCCGCGGUAAUACGGAGGGUGCAAGCGUUAAUCGGAAUUACUGGGCGUAAAGCGCACGCAGGCGGUCUGUCAAGUCGGAUGUGAAAUCCCCGGG
Molecule: ribosomal RNA, 504 nt
Filed under: uncultured bacterium
Lineage: Bacteria
Description: bacterial SSU rRNA
Rfam family: Bacterial small subunit ribosomal RNA
Source: RNAcentral